Non-coding RNA from Pomacea canaliculata, 64 nucleotides. Lineage: Eukaryota; Metazoa; Mollusca; Gastropoda; Architaenioglossa; Ampullariidae. The record is from the annotation of a RefSeq genome assembly.
GUUUUUAUGGUGUAUGUAUGCACGUUGAAAUUUCAUCUCAAAAGAGUAUUUUUAUACUAAAAAU